CCCGCUAUAGCUCAAUGGUAGAGCAUGCGGCUGUAGCCCGCAGUGUUCCCGGUUCGAAUCCGGGUAGCGGGA
RNAcentral lists this transfer RNA (72 nucleotides) under Nanobdellota archaeon. Its description in RNAcentral is "tRNA-Tyr". It matches the Rfam family "tRNA". Rfam says of the family: Transfer RNA (tRNA) molecules are approximately 80 nucleotides in length. The record is from RNAcentral. Lineage: Archaea; Nanobdellati; Nanobdellota.